RNAcentral lists this small RNA (336 nucleotides) under Staphylococcus xylosus. RNAcentral's name for it is "cspA thermoregulator". Lineage: Bacteria; Bacillati; Bacillota; Bacilli; Caryophanales; Staphylococcaceae. The record is from RNAcentral.
AGUAAUUUAGUUCGUGAAAUUGAUUUGUAGAGUUAUUCUUUUGAAUUUACUCCUUUUGAUUUUUUAAGACAGAUUACAAAUAUUCGUGCAAAAGCACAUAUGGAGGAAUUUAAUUAUGAAUAACGGUACAGUUAAAUGGUUUAAUGCAGAAAAAGGUUUCGGUUUCAUCGAAGUUGAAGGCGGAAACGACGUAUUCGUACACUUCUCAGCAAUCGCUCAAGAAGGUUACAAAUCAUUAGAAGAAGGACAAGCUGUUGAAUUCGAAAUCGUUGAAGGCGACCGCGGUCCUCAAGCAGCUAACGUUGUUAAAUUAUAAUAACGGCUGAAAGACGAGUA